GGGGAAUUUUGGACAAUGGGCGCAAGCCUGAUCCAGCAAUGCCGUGUGCAGGAUGAAGGCCUUCGGGUUGUAAACUGCUUUUGUACGGAACGAAAAGCCUCUCUCUAAUACAGGGGGGUGAUGACGGUACCGUAAGAAUAAGCACCGGCUAACUACGUGCCAGCAGCCGCGGUAAUACGUAGGUGGCAAGCGUUGUCCGGAAUUAUUGGGCGUAAAGCGCGCGCAGGUGGUUUCUUAAGUCUGAUGUGAAAGCCCACGGCUCAACCGUGGAGGGUCAUUGGAAACUGGGAGACUUGAGUGCAGAAGAGGAUAGUGGAAUUCCAAGUGUAGCAGUGAAAUGCGUAGAGAUUUGGAGGAACACCAGUGGCGAAGGCGACUAUCUCGUCUGUAACUGACACUGAGGCGCGAAAGCGUGGGGAGCAAACA
RNAcentral lists this ribosomal RNA (426 nucleotides) under uncultured bacterium. RNAcentral's name for it is "bacterial SSU rRNA". It matches the Rfam family "Bacterial small subunit ribosomal RNA", at positions 356 to 774 of the family's 1533-position model. The record is from RNAcentral.